Molecule: long non-coding RNA, 392 nt
Organism: Pomacea canaliculata
Lineage: Eukaryota; Metazoa; Mollusca; Gastropoda; Architaenioglossa; Ampullariidae
Exons: 3
Source: RefSeq, a predicted model, not a curated record
CCUCCCUGUCCGCCACCGCCACCGCCGUCACUACCUCACCACCACCCACUUCCACCACCACCCACCACCUCCACCACCUCAACAACAACCACCACAGCCGCCACCACGACACAAGCCACCAGCACCAGCAUCUGGAGCGACCCAGGCUUCGUGGCGGUGUUUGCUAUCCUGAUGUCGUUGUUGGGGCUGCUGCUGAUUGCCGGCAUCUGGUAUCUGUGUACACGGUCUGGCAGCAGCUUCGGCAACAUGUUCGGUCCUCGCUAUGAAAAGCCGCCGACACGAGUUCGUCCUGUCCGGGAAUACGAGGAGGUCCACAGCAGAGACAACCUCAUAAGACAAAGGAACCGCGUACUAUCUCCGAAUUACCGUGAACUAGCCUGGCGUUCAGUAGG